Molecule: ribosomal RNA, 274 nt
Filed under: uncultured bacterium
Lineage: Bacteria
Description: partial 16S ribosomal RNA
Rfam family: Bacterial small subunit ribosomal RNA
Source: RNAcentral
CUACGGAGGGUGCAAGCGUUAUUCGGAAUCACCGGGCGUAAAGGACGCGUAGGCGGGUUGGCAAGUCAAAUGAGAAAUCCUACAGCUUAACUGUAGAACUGCAUUUGAAACUGCUAACCUAGAGUAUGGGUGGGGGAGAUGGAAUUAGUGGUGUAGGGGUAAAAUCCGUAGAUAUCACUAGGAAUACCGAAAGCGAAGGCGAUCUCCUGGAACAUAACUGACGCUAAGGCGUGAAAGCGGGGGGAGCAAACAGGAUUAGAAACCCUAGUAGUCC